CGUAGCACUUGGGCGGAAUACUACAGACGUAUGGGGAUCUCAGGCAUACCUCAGGCUGGAAGAUCUCAAUGCUCCCAAAAUGGUCUGAUCCAAGACAAAGUCUAAUUGCUGCCUCUUGUCUGAGCUCUGGGGAACUGUGUUUUCAGCAAUCCUUUCCUCAGGAGGUAUUCUGUGAAUGAGCUGCAGGCUUCACAAAGAUGUUGUUCAGUGUUACUUGGAGCUGGUCAAAUGAAGGGUGGAGGCCUUCCUUAAGAAUUGAAGCUGGCUGCAAUGUUUAACAAUUACAGCUGUGAUUCCAAUGAUGAGUUACUGGAGAGACAGUAACAAUUGGUGGAGACAACUAAUCUGUUUCUA
Long non-coding RNA from Vombatus ursinus (common wombat), 354 nucleotides. RefSeq lists it as uncharacterized. The transcript has 3 exons. The record is from RefSeq and is a predicted model, not a curated record. Lineage: Eukaryota; Metazoa; Chordata; Mammalia; Diprotodontia; Vombatidae.